AGCGAACGCUGGCGGCAGGCCUAACACAUGCAAGUCGAACGAACUCUUCGGAGUUAGUGGCGGACGGGUGAGUAACACGUGGGAACGUGCCUUUUGGUUCGGAAUAACUCAGGGAAACUUGUGCUAAUACCGAAUGUGCCCUUCGGGGGAAAGAUUUAUCGCCAUUAGAGCGGCCCGCGUCUGAUUAGCUAGUUGGUGAGGUAACGGCUCACCAAGGCGACGAUCAGUAGCUGGUCUGAGAGGAUGACCAGCCACACUGGAACUGAGACACGGCCCAGACUCCUACGGGAGGCAGCAGUGGGGAAUCUUGCGCAAUGGGCGAAAGCCUGACGCAGCCAUGCCGCGUGAAUGAUGAAGGUCUUAGGAUUGUAAAAUUCUUUCACCGGGGACGAUAAUGACGGUACCCGGAGAAGAAGCCCCGGCUAACUUCGUG
This 433-nucleotide ribosomal RNA is filed under the name uncultured bacterium. RNAcentral's name for it is "partial 16S ribosomal RNA". It matches the Rfam family "Bacterial small subunit ribosomal RNA", at positions 29 to 507 of the family's 1533-position model. The record is from RNAcentral.